Molecule: ribosomal RNA, 1418 nt
Filed under: metagenome
Description: bacterial SSU rRNA
Rfam family: Bacterial small subunit ribosomal RNA
Source: RNAcentral
GGCGAACGGGUGAGUAACACGUAGGUAAUCUGCCCUUCAGCUCGGGAUAACCCCGCGAAAGCGGGGCUAAUACCGGAUGAUAUCCUGAAUGCGCAUGCUUUCAGGAUCAAAGGUGGCCUCUGAUUCAAGCUGUCACUGAAGGAUGAGCCUGCGUCUGAUUAGCUUGUUGGUGGGGUAAAGGCCUACCAAGGCGAUGAUCAGUAGCCGACCUGAGAGGGUGAUCGGCCACACUGGAACUGAGACACGGUCCAGACUCCUACGGGAGGCAGCAGUGGGGAAUAUUGCGCAAUGGGCGAAAGCCUGACGCAGCAACGCCGCGUGGGUGAGGAAGGCCUUCGGGUUGUAAAGCCCUGUCAGGUGGAACGAAUCUCAUCCCGAGCGAAUAACUCGGGAGAAUGACGGUACCACCAGAGGAAGCCCCGGCAAACUACGUGCCAGCAGCCGCGGUAAUACGUAGGGGGCGAGCGUUGUUCGGAAUUACUGGGCGUAAAGCGCGCGUAGGCGGUCAGAUAAGUCAGGCGUGAAAUCCCUCAGCUUAACUGAGGUUUGGCGCUUGAAACUAUCUGACUUGAGUUUAGGAGAGGAGAGUGGAAUUCCCAGUGUAGCGGUGAAAUGCGUAGAUAUUGGGAGGAACACCUGCGGCGAAGGCGGCUCUCUGGACUAAUACUGACGCUGAGGCGCGAAAGCUAGGGGAGCAAACGGGAUUAGAUACCCCGGUAGUCCUAGCCGUAAACGAUGGGCACUAGGUGUGGGAGGUAUCGACCCCUUCCGUGCCGCAGCUAACGCAUUAAGUGCCCCGCCUGGGGAGUAUGGCCGCAAGGCUGAAACUCAAAGGAAUUGACGGGGGCCCGCACAAGCGGUGGAGCAUGUGGUUUAAUUCGACGCAACGCGAAGAACCUUACCAGGGCUUGACAUCCUGCGAAUCCUGGUGAAAGCUAGAGUGCCCGCAAGGGAGCGCAGAGACAGGUGGUGCAUGGCUGUCGUCAGCUCGUGUCGUGAGAUGUUGGGUUAAGUCCCGCAACGAGCGCAACCCUCACCCUUUGUUGCCAUCAGGUUAUGCUGGGCACUCUAAGGGAACUGCCUCGGUUAACGAGGAGGAAGGUGGGGAUGACGUCAAGUCAUCAUGCCCCUUACGCUCUGGGCUACACACGUGCUACAAUGGCCAAUACAAAGGGCUGCAAACCCGCGAGGGCAAGCCAAUCCCAAAAAAUUGGUCUCAGUUCAGAUUGUAGGCUGCAACCCGCCUGCAUGAAGGAGGAAUCGCUAGUAAUCGUGGAUCAGCAUGCCACGGUGAAUACGUUCCCGGGCCUUGUACACACCGCCCGUCACACCACGAAAGUCUGUUGUACUCGAAGUCGUUGAGCCAACCCGCAAGGGAGGCAGGCGCCGAAGGUAUGAUAGGCGAUUGGGGUGAAGUC